GAUGAACGCUGGCGGCGUGCCUAAUACAUGCAAGUCGAGCGAACGGACGAGAAGCUUGCUUCUCUGAUGUUAGCGGCGGACGGGUGAGUAACACGUGGAUAACCUACCUAUAAGACUGGGAUAACUUCGGGAACCCGGAGCUAAUACCGGAUAAUAUUUUGAACCGCAUGGUUCAAAAGUAAAAGCCGGUCUUGCUGUCCCUUAUAGAUGGAUCCGCGCUGCAUUAGCUAGUUGGUAAGGUAACGGCUUACCAAGGCAACGAUGCAUAGCCGACCUGAGAGGGUGAUCGGCCACACUGGAACUGAGACACGGUCCAGACUCCUACGGGAGGCAGCAGUAGGGAAUCUUCCGCAAUGGGCGAAAGCCUGACGGAGCAACGCCGCGUGAGUGAUGAAGGUCUUCGGAUCGUAAAACUCUGUUAUUAGGGAAGAACAUAUGUGUAAGUAACUGUGCACAUCUUGACGGUACCUAAUCAGAAAGCCACGGCUAACUACGUG
Molecule: ribosomal RNA, 497 nt
Filed under: uncultured bacterium
Lineage: Bacteria
Description: partial 16S ribosomal RNA
Rfam family: Bacterial small subunit ribosomal RNA
Source: RNAcentral